Molecule: long non-coding RNA, 549 nt
Organism: Cucurbita moschata (crookneck pumpkin)
Lineage: Eukaryota; Viridiplantae; Streptophyta; Magnoliopsida; Cucurbitales; Cucurbitaceae
Exons: 4
Source: RefSeq, a predicted model, not a curated record
AAAAAAAAAUGUUAUUCGGGUUGUCGCCUGGUAGCACUGGGGGACUCAAAUCAGCCGGAAUCUUCGACGUUCAUCAGAAAGACCGAUCAACAAUGUCGCCCUCGAGCAUGGCCGGAGAUCUAAGCUCUUGCUCCGACGCGCUCGUCUGAAUCUCCCCCUACACCUUCUCCGCCGUCGGCAUUGCCAUAUCCAUCGGCGUCUCUGUCCUCGGAGCAGCCUGGCGGAUCUACAUAACCGGUAGCAGCUUGAUCGGUGCUGCAAUCAAAGCUCCGCUUCUUACCUCGAAGAAUCUAAUUAGCAGGCAGCCGGUUGACUGUCUUGAACUGAACUCUACCGUACUUGGCAGCCACUGGGGAUGGCGGCGGCGGGCUGUCUUGAACUGAAUUCUACCGUACUUGGCCACUCGGGACGGCGGCACUGGCGUCACCGACAAGAAUGAGGUGAUCACCGUCUCUGACAAGGAGGCAUAUCAGAACAAUUUGAUUCUCGAACAGGAGUCAUGCAGGAGUCAUGGGAAAACCGCGGUAUGAUCGACUCGCUCUGGAACUU